GAGUUUGAUCAUGGCUCAGAAUGAACGCUGGCGGCGUGCCUAACACAGCAAGUCGCGCGAGAAAGUGGCUUCGGCCACGAGUACAGCGGCGGACGGGUGAGUAACACGUGGACGACCUGCCUGAGAGUGGGGAAUAACUCGGGGAAACCUGAGCUAAUACCGCAUACGCUCCCACGCCUGCGGGUGUGGGAGGAAAGGUGGCCUCUGCUUGCAAGCUACCGCUCCCAGAGGGGUCCGCGGCUGAUUAGCUAGUUGGUGAGGUAACGGCUCACCAAGGCGACGAUCAGUAGCCGGCCUGAGAGGGCGAUCGGCCACACUGGAACUGAGACACGGUCCAGACUCCUACGGGAGGCAGCAGUGGGGGAUAUUGGACAAUGGGCGAAAGCCUGAUCCAGCGACGCCGCGUGGGGGAUGAAGGCCUUCGGGUUGUAAACUCCUGUCAGUGGGGACGAAAAGGCUUCGGCGAACAACCGGAGCCGCUGACGGUACCCGCAGAGGAAGCCCCGGCUAACUCCGUGCCAGCAGCCGCGGUAAUAC
RNAcentral lists this ribosomal RNA (537 nucleotides) under uncultured bacterium. Its description in RNAcentral is "bacterial SSU rRNA". It matches the Rfam family "Bacterial small subunit ribosomal RNA", at positions 9 to 526 of the family's 1533-position model. The record is from RNAcentral.